GUGCAGCAGUUGCGAAAACUUGUCAAUGCACGAAAGUGUGGACGGGCUACCCCGAGUGCCGUCCGCUGAGGAUGGCUUUUCUCUGCUGUAAGAAGGCAGAGGAAUAAGGAGAGGGCAAGUCUGGUGUCAGCCGCCGCGGUAAUACCAGCUCUCCGAGUGGUAGGGAUGAUUAUUGGGCUUAAAGCGUCCGUAGCUGGCCUUUCAAGUCUCUUGUCAAAUCCAGCGAUUCAAUCGUUGGACUGCGGGAGAUACUGUUAGGCUAGGGGGCGGGAGAAGCCGACGGUAUUUCCGGGGUAGGGGUAAAAUCCUAUAAUCCCGGGAAGACCACCAGUGGCGUAGGCGGUCGGCUAGCACGCGCUCGACAGUGAGGGACGAAAGCUGGGGUAGCGAACCGGAUUAGAUUUGGAAAGGAGAAAUAUCCUUCCACUGAAGACCCGGGUAGUCC
Molecule: ribosomal RNA, 445 nt
Filed under: uncultured crenarchaeote
Lineage: Archaea; Thermoproteati; Thermoproteota
Description: partial 16S ribosomal RNA
Rfam family: Archaeal small subunit ribosomal RNA
Source: RNAcentral